Molecule: ribosomal RNA, 474 nt
Filed under: uncultured organism
Description: partial 16S ribosomal RNA
Rfam family: Bacterial small subunit ribosomal RNA
Source: RNAcentral
CACUCCUACGGGAGGCAGCAGUGGGGAAUUUUGGACAAUGGGCGAAAGCCUGAUCCAGCAAUGCCGCGUGUGUGAAGAAGGCCUUCGGGUUGUAAAGCACUUUUGUCCGGAAAGAAAUCCUUGGCUCUAAUACAGUCGGGGGAUGACGGUACCGGAAGAAUAAGCACCGGCUAACUACGUGCCAGCAGCCGCGGUAAUACGUAGGGUGCGAGCGUUAAUCGGAAUUACUGGGCGUAAAGCGUGCGCAGGCGGUUUGCUAAGACCGAUGUGAAAUCCCCGGGCUCAACCUGGGAACUGCAUUGGUGACUGGCAGGCUAGAGUAUGGCAGAGGGGGGUAGAAUUCCACGUGUAGCAGUGAAAUGCGUAGAGAUGUGGAGGAAUACCGAUGGCGAAGGCAGCCCCCUGGGCCAAUACUGACGCUCAUGCACGAAAGCGUGGGGAGCAAACAGGAUUAGAAACCCCGGUAGUCCCAUG